This 253-nucleotide ribosomal RNA is filed under the name uncultured bacterium. RNAcentral describes it as "partial 16S ribosomal RNA". It matches the Rfam family "Bacterial small subunit ribosomal RNA", at positions 524 to 776 of the family's 1533-position model. The record is from RNAcentral.
UACGUAGGGUGCGAGCGUUGUCCGGAAUUAUUGGGCGUAAAGAGCGCGUAGGCGGCCCUGUAAGUCCGCUGUGAAAGUCAAAGGCUCAACCUUUGAAAGCCGGUGGAUACUGUGGGGCUAGAGUACGGAAGAGGCGAGUGGAAUUCCUGGUGUAGCGGUGGAAUGCGCAGAUAUCAGGAGGAACACCAAUAGCGAAGGCAGCUCGCUGGGACGUUACUGACACUGAGGCGCGAAAGCGUGGGGAGCGAACAGG